RNAcentral lists this ribosomal RNA (253 nucleotides) under uncultured bacterium. Its description in RNAcentral is "partial 16S ribosomal RNA". It matches the Rfam family "Bacterial small subunit ribosomal RNA", at positions 524 to 776 of the family's 1533-position model. The record is from RNAcentral.
UACGUAGGGUCCGAGCGUUGUCCGGAAUUACUGGGCGUAAAGAGCUCGUAGGUGGUUUGUCGCGUUGUUCGUGAAAACUCACAGCUCAACUGUGGGCGUGCGGGCGAUACGGGCAGACUGGAGUACUGCAGGGGAGACUGGAAUUCCUGGUGUAGCGGUGGAAUGCGCAGAUAUCUGGAGGAACACCGGUGGCGAAGGCGGCAUCCUGGACCAACACUGACGCUGAGGAGCGAAAGCCAGGGGAGCAAACGGG